Molecule: transfer RNA, 70 nt
Filed under: Cotesia glomerata
Lineage: Eukaryota; Metazoa; Arthropoda; Insecta; Hymenoptera; Braconidae
Description: tRNA-Ser
Rfam family: tRNA
About the family: Transfer RNA (tRNA) molecules are approximately 80 nucleotides in length. Their secondary structure includes four short double-helical elements and three loops (D, anti-codon, and T loops).
Source: RNAcentral
GACCGGAUAGCUCAAAUGGUAGAGUAAGUAAGUCUUCGGAAGGUUCUGGGUUCGAAUCCCAGUCCGAGCU